AUGGGGGCGUGUGCGACGAAGCCUGCUGAUCUCAAGGUAAAAGGUGAGGCGCCGGUGGUUCUGGAGGACGCCGCGGAGAAGAAGGUCGCCUGUGUGGCUGUGGCUGAAACUGAACCGGCCGCCGAUGGGAGUCGCCGGAGGUCUCUCAGCGACCUGCUCAAAGAGAACGACGAGAGUGACGUCGAGGCUCCGGAGGCAGAGAAGAAGGCUGAAGAACCUGCAGCAGCUACCGCUGUUGAAAAUGGAGCGACAGAGCAGCAGCUAGCAGUUGAGCCCUCCACUGCGACGACCGAGCCAAAUCACACGGCCGAAAUCCUGGAGCCAGAGGAUGCACGGGAUGCGCAGGUGGUGGAAGAAGAGAAGCGUGUGGAUCCUGAUUCAGUUCAGAACGACGAGAGUGACGUCGAGGCUCCGGCGGCAGAGAAGAAGGCUGAAGAACCUGCAGCAGCUACCGCUGAUGAAAGUGAAGCGACGGAGGAGCAGCUAGCAGUUGAGCCCUCCAUUGCGACGACCGAGCCAAAUCACACGGCCGAAAUCCUGGAGCCUGAGGCUGCAGAGGAUCCCCAGACACAUCCACAGGUGGUGGAAGAAGAGAAACAUGUGGAUCCUGAUUCAGUUCAGGUUACUGUUGUUGAUUCUGCUGAAAGUGUUGAAGAGAGCAAGGUCGUCGCCGAUGCGUCUACCUGA
This 687-nucleotide ribosomal RNA is filed under the name Triticum aestivum (bread wheat). Its description in RNAcentral is "partial small subunit ribosomal RNA". The record is from RNAcentral. Lineage: Eukaryota; Viridiplantae; Streptophyta; Magnoliopsida; Poales; Poaceae.